This 748-nucleotide ribosomal RNA is filed under the name bacterium MS-AsIII-37. RNAcentral's name for it is "bacterial SSU rRNA". It matches the Rfam family "Bacterial small subunit ribosomal RNA", at positions 83 to 833 of the family's 1533-position model. The record is from RNAcentral.
GGAUGCUGACGAGUGGCGAACGGGUGAGUAAUACAUCGGAACGUGCCCGAGAGUGGGGGAUAACGAAGCGAAAGCUUUGCUAAUACCGCAUACGAUCUCAGGAUGAAAGCAGGGACGCAAGCUUGCGCUCACGGAGCGGCCGAUGGCAGAUUAGGUAGUUGGUGGGAUAAAAGCUUACCAAGCCGACGAUCUGUAGCUGGUCUGAGAGGACGACCAGCCACACUGGGACUGAGACACGGCCCAGACUCCUACGGGAGGCAGCAGUGGGGAAUUUUGGACAAUGGGCGCAAGCCUGAUCCAGCCAUGCCGCGUGCAGGAUGAAGGCCUUCGGGUUGUAAACUGCUUUUGUACGGAACGAAAAGACUCUGGUUAAUACCUGGGGUCCAUGACGGUACCGUAAGAAUAAGCACCGGCUAACUACGUGCCAGCAGCCGCGGUAAUACGUAGGGUGCGAGCGUUAAUCGGAAUUACUGGGCGUAAAGCGUGCGCAGGCGGUUAUGUAAGACAGAUGUGAAAUCCCCGGGCUCAACCUGGGAACUGCAUUUGUGACUGCAUAGCUAGAGUACGGCAGAGGGGGAUGGAAUUCCGCGUGUAGCAGUGAAAUGCGUAGAUAUGCGGAGGAACACCGAUGGCGAAGGCAAUCCCUGGGCCUGUACUGACGCUCAUGCACGAAAGCGUGGGGAGCAAACAGGAUUAGAUACCUGGUAGUCCACGCCCUAAACGAUGUCAACUGGUUGUUGGUCUUCAC